GACGUAGGUGGCAAGCGUUGUCCGGAUUUACUGGGCGUAAAGGGCGUGCAGGCGGUUUGUUAAGUGCAGGGUGAAAGCUCCCGGCUCAACUGGGAGAGGUCCUUGCAUACUGGCAGACUUGAGGGAGGCAGAGGAAAGUGGAAUUCCCGGUGUAGUGGUGAUAUGCGUAGAUAUCGGGAGGAACACCUGUGGCGAAGGCGGCUUUCUGGGCCUUACCUGACGCUGAGACGCGAAAGCGUGGGGAGCGAACCGG
Molecule: ribosomal RNA, 253 nt
Filed under: uncultured bacterium
Lineage: Bacteria
Description: partial 16S ribosomal RNA
Rfam family: Bacterial small subunit ribosomal RNA
Source: RNAcentral